CGAGCUCAGCAGCUCUCGGAGGAGGUGACAGGGAAGCUGAGAACUGCGGGAGAAGAAACUGGGUGGAAAUAACAAAUGUUCGGGCCACAGACAGCAGCAGUGAGAACUGUCACCAAGAAUAGCACUGUGUUUUAAUUACUCUCCACAACGUCCCCACAGAAAGGAUUACAGGGAAGCUCCCCUGUGCCACAUGUGGACUCACACAGGCAUGGGAAAAAUCAAAAAGAACUUCACUCCAGCGGAAGUUCUAAGGAACUCCUUUCAUUG
Saimiri boliviensis boliviensis (Bolivian squirrel monkey) is the source of this 267-nucleotide long non-coding RNA. RefSeq lists it as uncharacterized. The record is from RefSeq and is a predicted model, not a curated record. Lineage: Eukaryota; Metazoa; Chordata; Mammalia; Primates; Cebidae.